GACAGAGGGUGCAAACGUUGUUCGGAAUUACUGGGCGUAAAGCGCGUGUAGGUUGUCUCGCAAGUCGGGUGUGAAAGCCCUGGGCUCAACCUAGGAAGUGCACUCGAAACUGCGAGACUUGAGUCCUGGAGAGGAAGGCGGAAUUCUCGGUGUAGAGGUGAAAUUCGUAGAUAUCGAGAGGAACACCGGUGGCGAAGGCGGCCUUCUGGACAGUGACUGACGCUGAGACGCGAAAGCGUGGGGAGCGAACAGG
RNAcentral lists this ribosomal RNA (253 nucleotides) under uncultured bacterium. Its description in RNAcentral is "partial 16S ribosomal RNA". It matches the Rfam family "Bacterial small subunit ribosomal RNA", at positions 524 to 776 of the family's 1533-position model. The record is from RNAcentral.